Molecule: long non-coding RNA, 1165 nt
Filed under: Mustela putorius furo (domestic ferret)
Lineage: Eukaryota; Metazoa; Chordata; Mammalia; Carnivora; Mustelidae
Description: lncRNA (ENSMPUG00000031839.1)
Source: RNAcentral
GCUGUCCACACCCCCGGUGACCCAUAUGCUCUCCCGCUUCCUUGAGUCCAUCAACCCCCUGUGCGUCCCGGGGGCUUCUUGUCCAGUGUGGACCCCAAGCAAGGGAUGCUGAAGGUCAAGAUCUAUGUGAGGUUUUCCCAUUGCUGCUGCUGAAGUUCUCAGCUCGGUAGUUCGAUGGGACGUAGCCCAGCUGUGUUUGUUGUUGUAAUGUAUUCGUCAUCGCUACCCGGUGCACCUGCCACGGAUUCUUAGCCCCGAGUCAGCUCUCACCCUGCCAUUCGCCCAUCUGCUUUCUUCCCGGAGCAAAGGGAGACGCGACCUGCCCAGCCUCCCACUGCUACACAGUGGCUGUCACCUGUCGCGUCGUCCUGCGGCCCCUUCCUAAAUGCCUUUAGGAUGCUUCUUGCUCCUGCUCCAGGGCACCAGCUAGCCGCAAUAACCUUCGCGGACUCUAGCUGCUCUUGGAACGGAACCCCCGUCGUUGAAGAGAGCAUCUUAGGAGGCAGAUGGACACCCUUAAAAAAAAAAAGUUUAAAUAUUUGUGUGUAUGUAUCUUAAUAUAAUUUUUAGAGGGAACAAAUGAACUCAUCCAAACCAUAGUUUCAUGGGUUCUUUAUCGCAGUGAAGAAGGCUGAGGGGAAACAGGGUCCUUUCAAAGCUGGUUUUGCAGACCCAGGACGAAGGGAGGAGCAAGGAAUGAGGACACGGGACGCCCACCCGAGGCCAACUGUGUGGGAUCCGCGGGUGCCUGACGGGCUAAAGAAAGAAAGAACACGGCAGUCGUCUGGGCUCCGCAUGCGCCCGUCAUCCGUAAAUAGAGUGAGAGAGCACAAGCAGUGGGAACAAGAGAAAGAGUGGGAGAAGCAGUCUACCUGCUGAGCAGGCAGCCUGAAUGCAGGGCUCGAUCCGAGGACCCUGAGAUCAUGACCUGAGCUGAAGGCACACACCUAACCAACUAAGCCACCCAGGAAACCCCAAAAUGUCAAAAUUUUAAAUAAAAACAGUAUCUGACUGUGCCAAAACUAAGUCAUAUUAGAGUCUGAGACAAAAAUAAAAAUGUGUGCCCCUAAACACAUGUUUUUAUGUAUUUUGUUUGGUUUUUAUGUAUUUUUAAAUGGUUGUUUUCUGGACCAUUAAGAUAGCUUUAAAAAAUACUGACAAGUUG